AAUCUGUCACCCUUACAAAGCCAGUGCUGAGGAGAGAUGAUCAAGUACCACAGUGAUGACUACAGUAACUUCUUGUGUUCCAUCAGUCCAGAUUACAUGUUCGAGCACAGCAAGCAGAUGCAGAGUCAACGUCGGUAAGGACUGUCCAGUAUUCGAUGGCUUGUUUGAAUUCUGACAGUUGUCUACUGAUGGCUCUGUGGCAAGGGCUGUGAAACUUAAUAAGCAGCAGAUGGACAUCACUGUGAAUUGGGCUGGGGGCUUGCACCAUGCAAAGAAGUCCGAGGUAUCUGGCUUCUGUUGUAUCAGUGACAUUGUCUUGGUCAUCCUGGAGCUGCUGAAGUAUCACCAGAGGGUGCUGUAUAUUGAUAUUGAUAUUCACCGUGGCGAUGGCAUGGAAGAGGCCUUCUAUAUCACAGACUGGGUCAUGACUAUGUAUUUCCCUAAGUAUGGAGAGAACUUUUCAGGAACUAGGGACCUACAGGAUAUUGGAGCUGGCAAAGGCAAGUAUUACACUGUUAAAUACCUGUUCCGAGAUGGGAUUGAAGACGAGUCCUAUGAGGCCAUUUUCAGGCUGGUUAUGUUCAGAGUAAUGGAGAUGUUCCAGCCUAGUGCAGUGCUCUUACAGUGUGGCUCAGACUCCUUAUCUGGGGAUUGGUUAGGUUGCUUCAACCUGACCAUCAAAGUGCAUGCUGGGGGGCAUGCCAAGUGUUUGGAAUUUGUCAAGAGCUUUAACCUGCCUAUUCCAAUGCUGGGAGGAGGUGGUUACAUCAUUUGUAAUGUUGCAGAGUGCUGGACAUAGGAGACAGCUGUGGCCCUGGAUGCAGAAAUCCCUAAUGAGUUUCCAUACAGUAACUACUUGGAAUGCUUUGGACCAGAUUUCAAGCUCUACAUCAGCCCUUCCAGUAUGACUAGCCAGAACAUGAAUGAGUACCUGGACAAGAUAAAUAGUGACUGUCUGAGAACCUGAGAAUGCUGCCCCACACACCUGUCUCCACAUGCAGGUAAUUCCAGAGGAUGCCAUCCCUUAAGAGAGGGGCGAUGAGAGUGAAGAAGACCCUGACAAGCACAUCUCAAUCUGUUCCUCUGACAAAUGAAUUGCCUGUGAGGAAGAGUUCUCCGACUGAUGAGGUGGGAGAAGGUGGCCACAAGAACUCUUUCAACUCCAAAAAAGCCAAGAGAAUCAAAAGAGGAUGAAAAAGAGAAAUACCCAGAUAAGAAGAACAAAGUCACAGAAGAGGAGAAAAUCAAGGAGGAGAAGCCAGAAGCCAGAAGGGUCAAGAAACAGGUCCAGCUCUGGCUUCUUGCUGAGUUCCCUGCCUUUCUUCCCCAACAUCUCAGAUUUUAUAUUUUCUAUUUCUCUGUGUAUUUAUAGGAAAAUUUAUUAAAUAUAAAUAUCCCAGGGACUAGACAGAAACCAAGGCCCUGAGCCCCGGGCAGCUCUGCUGGGUGAACUCUUCUAGGAGCUGCCUUGCCACCCAUCCUUCCAUCCUUCCCCAUUUCUUAACUUUGAACCAUAAAAAGUGCCAGGUCUUGGUGAAAGGGAUACUUUUAUGCAACCAUAAGACAAAAUCCUGAAAUACCAAAUAUCUGCUUAGUAGCUUUGGAAAGGUGCCCUUAUUGAACAUUCUAUAAAAGGUGGCGGGGUCUUCAAGGAUCUCCUGUUCUUUUCAGGCUCCUAACAUAACAUCAGCCAUUUUUAGAUUGGCUCUGUUUUCAUACCUUCCCAGUGGCCUCAGGUGAGCCAAAAAACUCACAUGCCUGCCCUUUUUCUUCCCCUGAUACUUCAGGCAGCGGUUGGUGGUCUAGUUUCCUUUUUGAGAUACUAUUUUCAUUUUUGAGACUCUUUGUAAUAAAAUGGUACAUUUUUAUAAAAAAGUUAACUGUUUAGACCCUCUCUCACCACUGCCUGUCACAGUGGAAAGAUGUGUUUUCCCUUGUUCGAGACUUCACUCACUCAUCUGUUUAUCUACCUUCCUUCUCAGUACCUCACCCCUUCAGUAAGGUUCUCUUUUCUGUAACCAUCGAAACCUUGUCUCUAUCCACUCCUUUUCCUCAGCUUUUAUGCAUACUUGAAUGUCUUCCAUUAAAAAAGGCAUCCCUUCAACUUGGCAAUCCCUUUUCAGUGCUGCUGUCUUGCUCCUCCUUUGUAGUGAGUUUUUUUGAACAGUAUCUACACUUAAACCAUCACCUGUUCCUCACCAAUCCAUUUACCUUUUGGUUCCUAAUGUCACCACUCCACUGAAACUUUCCCCAGCAAAGUCCCCCAUCUCUGUUGCUAAACACAAGGAGUUACUUUUUUAGCUAUCACCUUGUUUGACCAUUUGGCCAUAUUUGACAGUACAACACUUUCCCCUCUUCGAAGAACUCUUUCCUUGCCUUCCAUGUCAUGCUGUGCAGGUUUUCCUUUUUGGAUUUCUUUUCUUUCUAACCUUUAAAUGCUAGUGUUCCUUGAGGCUGCACUCUGAGCCCUUUUCCAUUCAUUCUUAUGCUAUUCAUUCUUCCUGGAGAAUCCCAUCCACCCCCACAGCUUCUGUACAGCAUCAUCUGUAGGCUAAGGAUUCCUGAGGCUCAAUCCCUAGCCCAGAUUUCUCUUGAGCCUCAGAAUAAAGUAACAGUAACUAUAGAACAUGUCUGUUGAGAUAGCACAUAGUACCUCAAACUCAGCUUGUCUAAAACUGAGCUCCAUUUUUCUUGAUCCAUUCUUCCCUCUCUGAGUUUGGUUUCUCAGUGAAUGAUACCAGCUUCUCUAUUCAGUUGUCUAAAUGAGAAAUCUGGGCAUUAUCUUCCAUUUCUUCUUUUUUUUAUCUCUCCCCCUAUAUCCAGUAAUGUAGAUAGAUAUAUGGAUAUCCAUCCUUUGUAAUCAUGAAUUGUGAUUAAAAAGUUCCAUAAAACUGUAUAAAUCAUGAAGUUUUGCUCAUUUUUACCAGCAAAAUGUUGGACAUGUCUUUUGUUUCCAUAUUGCCACUGUCUACCUUAAAAUUGGGGUGUCAUCAUCUCUCUCCUUGAUUUUAGCUAAAGCCUUUUAGUUGAUUUCUGUGCUUCUAGUCUUGAACACCUCUAACCCACUCCCUCCAUAUGGGCUAGAGAGACUUUUCAAAAUCAUACCUGUGAAAGAUAACCAUUACAUGCUGGUUUUGCCUGAGGGCUUCUUUACACCUGCGUUUUCUCUCCUGGUUAUUUGCCUUCCUUCCACUUCUUUUUUGCAUGAUUGACCCAUAUUUAUCCUACCUGAAUCUAACUUUUUACUUACUUAGUAUUCUACUAUUUAUUAAUCUUACUCCACUUGUUAUUAUUUUCAACUUGUAAUCUUAAAUUUGAGAACAUCAACAAGGACUUGGGGAACUUGAAGUAUUUCUGUCUAGCUCAUGUUUGUUAUUUUUCUUCCUUGUCCAUUCUCAUUCAUUAUCAUAACAACAAACAUCCAAAGAGCUCCCAUUAAAGAGUAAUGUGUUCGCAUGUUCUCGCUCAUAGGUGGGUGUUGAACAAUGCGAACACAUGGACACAGAGGGGAG
Molecule: RNA transcript, 3512 nt
Organism: Sapajus apella (tufted capuchin)
Lineage: Eukaryota; Metazoa; Chordata; Mammalia; Primates; Cebidae
Gene name: histone deacetylase 1-like
Exons: 2
Source: RefSeq, a predicted model, not a curated record